Molecule: ribosomal RNA, 273 nt
Filed under: uncultured Streptococcus sp.
Lineage: Bacteria; Bacillati; Bacillota; Bacilli; Lactobacillales; Streptococcaceae
Description: partial 16S ribosomal RNA
Rfam family: Bacterial small subunit ribosomal RNA
Source: RNAcentral
AUUGUAGUUGCCAUCAUUCAGUUGGGCACUCUAGCGAGACUGCCGGUAGUAAACCGGAGGAAGGUGGGGAUGACGUCAAAUCAUCAUGCCCCUUAUGACCUGGGCUACACACGUGCUACAAUGGUUGGUACAACGAGUUGCGAGUCGGUGACGGCGAGCUAAUCUCUUAAAGCCAAUCUCAGUUCGGAUUGUAGGCUGCAACUCGCCUACAUGAAGUCGGAAUCGCUAGUAAUCGCGGAUCAGCACGCCGCGGUGAAUACGUUCCCGGGCCUU